ACACAUCUGGAAAGAACUUCCUGAAGAAGAAAAAAAUAUGUAAAGUUGAGUGGGUGAAGUGGCUUCUCUUUGUAGCAUUUAUUCAAGACCAUGUGCAGAGACCGUGGAUAGUUAAGCGUUGAGAAUAAUUGUGGCACCUUUCCCCGGUUGGAUAUCCGCUAAGUAGUUGCCCAUAAUGGAGAGGAAAAAAACAUACGCUGUCCAUGAAAAAGGUGUGCAACAUGGCAGCAACUAGGCUACUUUGGAGCCUACUUUAUGUUUCCUUAUCAUAGUUGAGGUAGCCUGUGUGGUUAUGAAGCCAGACUAUGGUUUUCUUCAUGUGGCGUUAGCAGAGGCUGAGUGUAAAAUAACAGUUGGCACUGACUUCUUUGACACCUUGAAUGACGGUUCACUUUUGUGAACAAACUGUGCAUUUCAUUUACCAGAAAAGAUAGUAAAAUAUUUGUUUAAUGAGGAUUCCCUAGUUCUUCUACAUGUUUUAAAUCUCACAUACAGGAAGGAGGCUAUUAAAAACAACUUCAUCUUGUAAACUCCUGAUUAAGCCAUAUUUAUGACUAUCCAUCUCUACAUUUAAUUAUUAUUGAGGUUAGUUUGGAUUCAUUUAGAGAAAGUUGACCCAAAGAGCAUGUGUGUAGAGAACACUGAAAAGUGUUCUAAAAAACAAAUGAACACAAUCCCAACUCUGUCACCAUUUGUAUGUUAAUGUUGUAUAAGACAAGGGUGCAAAACACUUCACCUAAUGGAUAUUUUACAACCACUAAAAAACAUUACCAAGUCGUUUCUACUGGCUCAGUCUUGGAUAGUAAUGCUUUCUACGGAGGAGAACUUGCCCAGAGAAUCUGUCUGCAGCAUGUGUGAAAAGUCUGAACUAAUAUAGAUAUUAUUAUUUAUAUCUGACAUCAAUGGAGUGGAAGAAUUUUCUCUGAAAAUGGGCAGAAGAGUACAGUAUGAUGAUCUCACAGCUGAACUAGUUUUUGUUAGUUUACAUGUGUGAUGUCAUGUAACUUUUAUUGAUUGUUUAUAGAGUAGUUUACACCUCUCUAUUGUUUACUUGCACAUUACAUCCAAAAGAGACAGUGGGUGAGAGAGACGGAGAGACAUCAAUGUCAAGAGUUAGGAUUUAAGCAUAACAAAUAGAGGGAUAUAGAGUGUCUCUCUCUAGAGGCUGACUAAAGCUUACUGAAAAAUGCCACUAGGAAGGAAGCACCAAGAGUCUCUUGACAACCAGAUCCACAUGCGUGCUGAUUCACCAGGCCCUUAGUGUGCCAUGUAUAUCACACAGAGAAACAGUGCAAUAUGUACUGCAUACUACAUUAGAUAUAACUGUAUUAGCCAACACCUUGGGCUACAGUAUACAUUUACCAUGCUGAUAAAGUAAUAGAGUGACCAGGUACAAAAGUCAUGACAUGCAAUUCUCAUGUCUGUUCAGUUCUGCAGUUGCGGUGUGUGGACAAUCUCACCGUGUAGUGUAUGUGAUCCUCAUAGCAUAAACAUGAUAAUGUUGCAGGAUCUUUAUUUCCAUCAGCAAAUGUUUCAGUGGAAACAGACAAGGGUGCAGGUAGCCUAGCGAUUAGAGUGUUGAGCCAGUAAACGAAAGGUUGCUUGUUCAAAUCUCUGAGCCGACAAGGUGAAAAUUUGGUCCAUGUGCUGUUGAGCAAGGCACUUAACCCUAAUUGUUCCAGGGGCGGUGGACAAUAGUGACCCCACUCUUUUAGGGUGUCUCAGGGGGAGUUGGGAUAUGCAAAAAAACUCUCCAAUACACACAUGUGUAUAAUAAACACUUUUACAUGUGUGAAAUAGGACAAUGUAAGCACCCACUAAAUGAUUUAAUAUUAUAAACCAGUUGGUCUCAACAUUUGUUUUUGUUAACUGUACCCCCAAUCAAAUUUCACUCUGCCCAAAGUACUCCAUCUUUUGCCUCCUCAUCUGCAGCCAAUCAUUAGGCCUAUGUUCUUAUGACUCUUCCUAAGUGCCUCCUGUGGAUAGGCGAGGUACCCUGAUGGGUACUGGUUUGUUUACCAGUACCCAUUUGGGUACCUUGCCUACUCAGGCUCAUGUGAAGCCCAAUAUUAAACUAUUAGUGUUGAUUUGGAGAUAUGUUUGUCAAGGGGGUUUCCUGUGUUUAACAGCUGUGGUGAGGACUGUGACUAUCUGAGAGGACUGCCAGAUUUUGUUCUGGAGCACCUCUGGGAAGGAUUUAUGUCUGUGAAUACACCCUUCUGGAUCCUCAACUGUGCACCAAUGCCAAGGAAUAUUGCAGUCCCUCCCUCGCUUACUCUUUGUCUAUUUGUCUUAGGGUCUGUCUGCCUUUGAAUCGCACUGCUCUCUGGGGUUCUCUCUGUCUUUUCAGAUGUGGCUGGAAGAAACAUGAACAAAGACUCUUUUGAGGAAAAAAACCAGGAAGGACCCAGAGCGUGCGCCAAAAGUUCCUGUGGAGAAGGCUGCGGAGGGAGAGGAUGACAUCCCAGUGGUCAUCUGUGCUGUGGAGGAACGAAUGGGCGGUGCCAUGCCAACCAUCAACAGCAUCUAUAGCAACACAGAUGCCAGCGUGUUUUUCAUUAUUGUCACUCUUCGUGAUUCCAUCAAGCUGACAAGGUGUUUCACACUAAUCUCUCCCCUUCCAUUGUCACUGAUUUGUAGCAAUUUCAGUUCCUAGUACCAACCCAGGAUGUUUUAUUGAAUUAUCUGAAUUGUUUCAAUAAAGGCCUUAAAGGACAACUGAUAAAUGACUUUAAAAUGGAGUGAGUAGAACUGUCAUUA
Long non-coding RNA from Oncorhynchus keta (chum salmon), 2760 nucleotides. RefSeq lists it as uncharacterized. Lineage: Eukaryota; Metazoa; Chordata; Actinopteri; Salmoniformes; Salmonidae. The transcript is spliced from 3 exons. The record is from RefSeq and is a predicted model, not a curated record.